RNAcentral lists this ribosomal RNA (490 nucleotides) under uncultured bacterium. RNAcentral's name for it is "partial 16S ribosomal RNA". It matches the Rfam family "Bacterial small subunit ribosomal RNA", at positions 30 to 507 of the family's 1533-position model. The record is from RNAcentral.
AUUGAACGCUGGCGGCAUGCCUAACACAUGCAAGUCGAACGGUAACAGGAAACAGCUUGCUGUUUCGCUGACGAGUGGCGGACGGGUGAGUAAUGUCUGGGAAACUGCCUGAUGGAGGGGGAUAACUACUGGAAACGGUAGCUAAUACCGCAUAACUUCGCAAGACCAAAGAGGGGGACCCUCGGGCCUCUUGCCAUCGUAUGUGCCCAGAUGGGAUUAGCUUGUUGGUGGGGUAACGGCUCACCAAGGCGACGAUCCCUAGCUGGUCUGAGAGGAUGACCAGCCACACUGGAACUGAGACACGGUCCAGACUCCUACGGGAGGCAGCAGUGGGGAAUAUUGCACAAUGGGCGCAAGCCUGAUGCAGCCAUGCCGCGUGUAUGAAGAAGGCCUUCGGGUUGUAAAGUACUUUCAGCGGGGAGGAAGGGAGUAAAGUUAAUACCUUUGCUCAUUGACGUUACCCGCAGAAGAAGCACCGGCUAACUCCGUG